GAGGAUAGAGCUCGGUGGUAGAUCACAUGCUUAGCACGCACGAGGUCCUGGGUUCAAUCCCCAGUACCUCCA
RNAcentral lists this transfer RNA (72 nucleotides) under Camelus bactrianus (Bactrian camel). It matches the Rfam family "tRNA". Rfam says of the family: Transfer RNA (tRNA) molecules are approximately 80 nucleotides in length. Their secondary structure includes four short double-helical elements and three loops (D, anti-codon, and T loops). Further hydrogen bonds mediate the characteristic L-shaped molecular structure. tRNAs have two regions of fundamental functional importance: the anti-codon, which is responsible for specific mRNA codon recognition, and the 3' end, to which the tRNAs corresponding amino acid is attached (by aminoacyl-tRNA synthetases). tRNAs cope with the degeneracy of the genetic code in two manners: having more than one tRNA (with a specific anti-codon) for a particular amino acid; and 'wobble' base-pairing, i.e. permitting non-standard base-pairing at the 3rd anti-codon position. Lineage: Eukaryota; Metazoa; Chordata; Mammalia; Artiodactyla; Camelidae. The record is from Rfam by way of RNAcentral. RNAcentral also lists the same sequence under 2 other names.